ACGUUAUUGUGGUAAAAGCGCUCUUAAUUAAAUCUGCUCUAUCAAGGCUGUGUCACCGCUAUCAAGUGGCGAACUAUCUUAGGCUUCGAUGCUGACUUAUUUGUUAUGUUAAAGAAGUGACUAAUGUGUGCAAACAUUUACCCUCAACAAAAUAGUGCCAUGAAAUAAGUGAGGUGGUUGAAUAUUAUUCGGUGGAAUAAUGGAGAAGAACCAGGGUUUCAUUUAUGUUGGCUUUCGAAUCGGAGGUAUCAACUGAAAGGAACAAUUGGAAGGAACAUUUUUAUUGCAGCGUCAAAGGUGAAAUUCUUGGAUCAUGGUAAGACAAACAGCUGUGAAAGCAUUUUUCAGGCCUGUCUAAGUGAUCAGAUACCGCCCUAGUUCUAACUGCAAGUGAUACCGUCAGUGAUUCGUUGAUAUUAUACCACGACGGGAUGAGGAACUUCCGGAAAACAAACAUUAUCAGCUUCCU
This 469-nucleotide non-coding RNA is filed under the name Soboliphyme baturini. RNAcentral describes it as "Eukaryotic small subunit ribosomal RNA". It matches the Rfam family "Eukaryotic small subunit ribosomal RNA", at positions 607 to 1116 of the family's 1831-position model. Lineage: Eukaryota; Metazoa; Nematoda; Enoplea; Dioctophymatida; Soboliphymatidae. The record is from Rfam by way of RNAcentral.